CUCGCUUUUAUUUUGCCUCGUAGCAAAUAUCGGGGUCUUAGAUCGUAAUUUCUGCUCUUGUCCAACAGCGAUCUUUCUCGCAACUAUCUCAAUGGAUCGAUCCCUGCAGCAUGGGCUUCCCUUCCUCUCACCGAUUUGUCGCUUUUGGGAAAUCACAUUUCUAGAACAAUUCCAAAGGAGCUAGGAAACAUCAUGACACUCAAGUCACUAGUCAUUGAAGUUAACGAGGUCGAAGGACCUCUUCCUCCAGAGCUUGGUAAUUUGCGCAGCUUGGAGAGAUUCCUUGCUUGUUCGAAUAACUUGACAGGAGAAAUACCUAUUACCUUCGGCAACUUGAGAAACUUGACGGACUUGUAUAU
Long non-coding RNA from Magnolia sinica, 359 nucleotides. RefSeq lists it as uncharacterized. The record is from RefSeq and is a predicted model, not a curated record. Lineage: Eukaryota; Viridiplantae; Streptophyta; Magnoliopsida; Magnoliales; Magnoliaceae. The transcript is spliced from 4 exons.